Molecule: ribosomal RNA, 465 nt
Filed under: uncultured bacterium
Lineage: Bacteria
Description: partial 16S ribosomal RNA
Rfam family: Bacterial small subunit ribosomal RNA
Source: RNAcentral
GACGAACGCUGGCGGCGUGCUUAACACAUGCAAGUCGAACGGAAAGGCCCUGCUUGCAGGGUACUCGAGUGGCGAACGGGUGAGUAACACGUGGGUGAUCUGCCCUGCACUUCGGGAUAAGCCUGGGAAACUGGGUCUAAUACCGGAUAGGAGCCAUUUUUAGUGUGAUGGUUGGAAAGUUUUUUCGGUGUAGGAUGAGCUCGCGGCCUAUCAGCUUGUUGGUGGGGUAAUGGCCUACCCAGGCGGCGACGGGUAGCCGGCCUGAGAGGGUGGACGGCCACAUUGGGACUGAGAUACGGCCCAGACUCCUACGGGAGGCAGCAGUGGGGAAUAGUGCACAAUGGGCGCAAGCCUGAUGCAGCGACGCCGCGUGGGGGAUGACGGCCUUCGGGUUGUAAACUCCUUUCGCUAGGGACGAAGCUUUUUGUGACGGUACCUAGAGAAGAAGCACCGGCUAACUACGUG